Molecule: non-coding RNA, 156 nt
Organism: Paramuricea clavata
Lineage: Eukaryota; Metazoa; Cnidaria; Anthozoa; Malacalcyonacea; Plexauridae
Source: the annotation of a GenBank genome assembly
AUACACACCUUUUCGAGAAAAGGUGCGUAUAAUUACACAUCUUUUGCAAUGUGGAAGCCAAGGUGUGUAAUUAUACGCACCUUGUAUACACAAUUAUACACCUUAGGUGUGUACGAUUACACACAUUUGGGUGUGUAAAAUUACAUAUAUUAAUUC